Molecule: long non-coding RNA, 522 nt
Organism: Esox lucius (northern pike)
Lineage: Eukaryota; Metazoa; Chordata; Actinopteri; Esociformes; Esocidae
Source: Ensembl
AACAAAUGUGACUGGGCAAAAAAGAACCUGGCAACAAGUAAAGAUCAAAUAUAAAAACAUUUUGCAAGCUGCUGUUAAGAAGACUCAUUUGUCUGGCACUGGGUUGGGGCCGCCAGCUCCAGACUUCACCCCAGCUGAGGAAAUGGCCCUUGAUUUGAACCAAGGAAGGCCUGUGAUGGAAGGAUCUGUAUGUAACAGGAUCCAGACGCAGUACAGUAUGACAGCCAGCCUGGCAACAUAGUACUCGUCGGGAAAAGCUAAAGGGUCUGAUCUGUCCCGAAACACCCUCUCACGUCUGAAAGCAGGUCUCAAUAUCAGCGCUUCUUCAUCCAAAACGUCAUUCAGAAAUGGGCAUGCCAUGGUGCAGGGAGAAACACAGGUGAAUGGGACUUCAUAUAUUGCCCUCAUCACUGACUUCAUUGAAAUCCCCGUUGCAAAUUCAUCAACCAUUACAAACCAUCUAAACUGCAAUAGUAGGAUUUAAAUCAAACUCGUCACAGCAAUAGUGACAAGUAAUGCGAG